UGAGUAAUGUCUGGGAAACUGCCCGAUGGAGGGGGAUAACUACUGGAAACGGUAGCUAAUACCGCAUAACGUCGCAAGACCAAAGUGGGGGACCUUCGGGCCUCACACCAUCGGAUGUGCCCAGAUGGGAUUAGCUAGUAGGUGGGGUAAUGGCUCACCUAGGCAACGAUCCCUAGCUGGUCUGAGAAAAUCACACCCACACUGGAACUGAGACACGGUCCAGACUCCUACGGGAGGCAGCAGUGGGGAAUAUUGCACAAUGGGCGCAAGCCUGAUGCAGCCAUGCCGCGUGUAUGAAGAAGGCCUUUCCGUGUAAAUAACUUUCAGCGGGGAGGAAGGCGGCGGUGGAGUUAAAUUUCCCCGAUUGACGUUACCCCGCAGAAGAAGCACCGGCUAACUCCGUGCCAGCAGCCGCGGUAAUACGGAGGGUGCAAGCGUUAAUCGGAAUUACUGGGCGUAAAGCGCACGCAGGCGGUCUGUCAAGUCCGAUGUGAAAUCCCCCGGGC
This 506-nucleotide ribosomal RNA is filed under the name uncultured bacterium. Its description in RNAcentral is "bacterial SSU rRNA". It matches the Rfam family "Bacterial small subunit ribosomal RNA", at positions 107 to 609 of the family's 1533-position model. The record is from RNAcentral.